ACAGGCUGGAGUGCAGUGGUGUGAUCUCAGCUCACUGGAACCUCCGCCUCCUGGGUUCAAACGAUUCUCCUGCCUCAGCCUCCCGAGUAGCUGGAAUUACAGGUGCACACCACCACCCCCCGGCUAGUUUUCUUGUAUUUUUAGUAAAGAUGGGGUUUUGCCAUAUUGACCAGGCUAGUCUCAAACUCCUGGACUCAAAUGAUCUGCCCACCUCGGCCUCUCAAAGUGCUGGGAUUACAGGUGUGAGCCACCACACCUGUAUAAACUAAUGCAUUUAAAAUUAAUUUUGAAUUAAUUUUAUAAUAACUUUGAGAGGCUUAGAUUGAGAGUCAUUUUUUUGCCUAUAUUUGUCCAAUUAUUCCAGCACCAUUGUUGAAAAGACUUACCUUUAAGUGGUCUUUUUUGCAUCAGUUAAGAAAACAGAUUGAGUUCCACAAAGAAUUGAAAUGGUAGAAACCUAAAAAAGCAUAUGGAAGGUGAGGGGAUCAGAGAGAUGGUCCAUGUACCAAAUAAUUCAGCAGCUGCUCGAAAUGAGAGGUGGUCAAGAGGACCUAAGUCACCUAGGACAUUACAGAAAUCGAGGGGAGGCUUUGGACUGCUCACAAGUCAUUAAAUGAAGAGAGGGUUGUUGAGCCAAACUUAGGCAGAUCUUCACGGGAAGAAUGAGCCUCCCUGAUGUCCCCGUACCUGCAGCAGUGAGGUGUGUGACUUCCCGGGGCUCUGGCUCCUUGGAGUGGUGGGGUGAGGUAGAUGCUGCAGCCUGGACUGGAAGCCAGAGUGACUCAUCAGCCCAGGGUGAGCAUCUCGGGGGGAUGUUGUUUUGUUUGCUCUCGCAGUGAACCCCAUUACAAUAACAGCACCAAGGUGUCCCGGUGCUUUGACUGUUCUCUCCCUGGGCUCCUAAUGGAGAUUGACAGAAUCUAGAGUCCAGGGUAAUUCUAUUGUCAGUUUCAGCAGCCUCCUGCACCUCAUUAGACACAAGCAGAGAGAAAUGAGCAAAGAAGGAAUGUCAGCCUCAGAACAGAGGGGGCCUGCUAGAGUAAGCAGCUUUCAGGAGAUGACAAGGUAGUGAGGAAAUUAUCCGGGCUUUCCAACUGGCCCCUCUAGGCUCUAGGUGGGAAAUCGGGACGUCUGUGUCACAGCUCUGCAGAACAGAGCCAGCAUGAAUGGUUCAGUUUCAACUGCAGUCCCUUUUCUUUGAGGGACAGCAUGAGGGGAGGCUAAGACAGACAUCUUUUGUAUUGUCAGCCUUUGUGUUAGAGGCUCCUUCCGGUGGUGGGGCCUAGCAGGGGAGGUGUUUCUGGGUGGCUUGGGUUUAAGUUGCAAGUGGAUGGUGUCAGGGGUCAAAGCCUUAUUUGAUUUAUCUAAACCUUUAGGAUUUUACUCAGGAUGGAUGAACUGUAUCCAAUGUAUAGGGAGAGAGAAUCCUAGGCCUAUAAGAAAGCUGGAAUUGAUCAUUGUCCCACACUAUAUCUUGUUUCCCAGCCUUGGCCAGAAACACACACAGAUUUACGUAGAUAAACAUGUAACAUACUUAUCUUAGUGUGUUCAGGCUGCUAUAACAAAAAUACCUUAGACUGGGCAAUUUAUAAACAACAGAAAUGUUUUUCUUAUGGUUCCAGAGACUGGAAAGUCCAAGACAAAAGCACAGGCAGGUUUGAUAUCACGUGAGGACCCGCUCUCUGCUUCCAAGAUGACAGCUUCUUGCUCACGUGUUGGAAGGCGCAAGGUUGCUCCUUUCAAUCCCUUUUAUAAGGGCAUCAAUCUCAUUCAGGAGGGCACAGCCCUCAUGACUUAAUUACUUCCCCAAAGGCCCCACCCCUUAAUACAUGACAUUGGGUGGUAGGUUCCAAUAUGAAUUUUGGAGGGAAACCAACAUUCAGACCGUAGCAACACCCAACACUUAUAUAUACAAGCUCAUGUACAAAUACACACAACACUAAUGCUUCUACUCAUACUUUUUUUUUUUUUUUGUUUUGAGACAAGGUCUCACUCUUUCACUCAGGCUGGAGUGCAGUGGCUUGAUCAUGGCUCACUGCAGUCUCAAACCUUGGGCUCAAGCAAUCCUCCCACCUCAGCCUCCCAAGUAGCUGGGGCUAUAGGCAUAUGCCACCACACAGCUAAUUUUUAAAAAUUUAUUUAGAGACAGGGUCUUGCUAUGUUGUCCAUGGUGGACCCGAACUCUUGGCCUCAAGUGAUCCUCCCAUCUUGGCCUCCCAAAGUGCUGGGAUUAUGGGCAUGAGCCACUGAGCCUGGUCCUCAUAGGUAAUUUUAAAUACACAGAACACUAGACCAGACGUGUGCCAGUUACACAUACAGGCAACACACACAGGUCCAUGCUGAAGGCAUUUCGCUACAGAGUUUUUGUCUGUGGCUUAUGACAUCAGCCUCUUUGCUUUCUAUUUACAUCUUGGAUAUACACCGCUCACACACACAUUCACACCCACCCACCAUUCUCACAAUGCACAGCAUGCACUCAAACACCCAAGCCACAAACAUGUUCACAUAUACACACUCUGCAGUCAACAUUUGCCCAAACAUACAUGCCUCUUCUAUUUUCACCACGUGUGACCAGUUGUGGUCAUUCAGAUGCCUGCCCAUCCUGUGUGUCACACCUACGUAUGCCUCUCUGGCACACUUGCAACAGGCCAAGCCAGUGUCUGCACAGACUAGCAGAGCAGAGAGUGUUUUCCACCUUCUUCCUGUCAUUGACAUGCAACACCUGUCCUGUCUUUAGUUUUUUGCACUCUGGCUUCGACUGAAUUGAAUGCCAGUCUGCCUGGCACAGAGCCCAGCGCAGCAGCCCAGAAGCAAUUGUCCUGUGGGCAUAAGCCUCCAAGAGCCCAGAAUGGGUGCACGCCAACUCUGGAGGCACCAUCAAGGAAAGAGGCCUCUGUAGGCGCCCCCCACCCCUCAUUAGUGCUCUAGAGGGCCAUGGAUGAGUCAGCACAUGGCAACCUCUUUUCCUCCCUGCCUUUCUUCUCCUCAAAAUUCUGGUCAUUUGGGUGUUUCAAGGCCUUUGCCAAACAGAAUGAGUGAGGCUUGAAAGAGAUACUAGCUUAGAAAAUCCACCAUCAGAGUCUGGGCCAUUGAAUUUUCCAUUAGCCUUCGCUUGUGCAUUUCUGUAGCCUCAUAUCUAGAACAAGUCUGGAACAGUAAAACUUCACUGAAUAAAUACAAGUGUAUGUUAGCCUAUGAAAUAGGACUAAUUCUGCUUUGUCUCUCAGGACUAUCUAUAAAUCAUAAGGAGCAAUGCAAAUACCUUAUGAGGAAUUUUUGCUAUUAUUGUGAUCAACACCAGGUAGGUAAAUCAUUUCCUUCCCCACUUCACACGUUUCUGUCCCUACCUACUCCUAGCGCCUUGAACUAGCUGUCACUGAGAUAAUGAUACUAGUUACCAUUAUCGAGCACCUAUUCUGCUCCAGGUACUAGACUAAGCACUUUACAAAUAUCUUGUUCUAUCCUCUCAACAUCCUUGUUAAAUAAAUAUUACUGUCUGUAUUUCAUAGUCUGGAAAUUUGAGGUUUUAAGGGGCUGAGCAGCUUGCCCAAAGUCACACAGCUAAUAGACAGCAGAGACAGGAUUUGAACUCAGGUCUUUGCUUCUCAAACUCAUGUCAUCCUCACUUCACCAACCUUACAUUUAUCAUCAUCAGCCAUAGAAUGCAAAUUCUAUCCAUAUUUCUAUUGUUUAAGCCUAAACCCCCUUUUCCGUCUAUGUCCAUCUCAAUUUUAAACUGUAAGCCAGGCUAUAAAUAGCAGGAACUAUGUUUAUUGAAUUCAUUUCAUAGUGUUCAGCAUACUUCCAUAGUGUUCAGCAUAUUUCUGGGAAAAUAUAUAUAUAUGUAUACACAUACACACACACACACACACACACAUAUACACAUAUAUACAUAGAGGUUACUUUUUGUUUAAGUAAUGGUUCCAUGAAUUUCACAUUGUGUCUGAAGCUAAGAGACUAAAUUCUAGCUCUUCUUAGCAAAGAACAAACUAUAAAGAGAUGCAGUCUGAAGGGAAAACAAACUGUCUUUCACUAUAGCAUACUUCUGUGACCAGAUGCAUGGGGGCUUUUCCCUACACACCAAGAAAUUCUCCAGCAGACACCAACUGGGUGUCCUAUAAUUCAGUUCCAUUCUGGCACCAUCUACUUGCAGUGAGAGUCAGAUCCCACAGCUGAUGGCUCAGUCCCACAAGAUUGCCCCCAGUUCAGGUGCCAAUCACACGACUAAGGUUGUGACCUGUGCUUUUGACCAACCAACUAUAAGUUGGGGUUCCCAAGACCCCCUCCUUGGUUUCAAUUAAUUUGCUAGAGCAGCUCACAGAACACUUACUUUACAUUUACCGGUUUCUUUUAAAGGAUAUGAUAAAGGAUACAGAUGAGCAGCCAGAUGGAAGAGAUGCACAGGGCAAGUCAUGUGGGAAGGGGCGCGGAGCUGCCAUGUGCUUUCCGGAAGAUCCACCCUCCAGGCGCCUCCACAGGUUCAGCUGUCUGGAGCCUCCUGAACCAAGUUUUCUUUGGUUUUUAUGGAAGCUUUAUGACAUAGGCCUGAUUGAUUACAUCAUCGGCCAUAAGGUGCUUGGUGAGACAGUGUCACCGUUCUGGGAAGAGCUAGUCUGGGAGAAGGAGUCAGGAUACUAGACCUGUCUGUGAGGCACUGGAUGACUCCAGAAGCUCAAGGAAGCUCAUGGUGAAGCCCCGAUUUGAAAUGGGACUUUGAAGAGGAAGCUCUAGGCCAGCAUGGCUCACAAGGAAGCUGGGUGGCGUUUCUCCUCCUCUCCCACCAUUGUGAAGGAUCUUCUUGCUGCUAGAGUGCAGCGCCUGGUACAGAGCAUACAUUUCAGUGUUAAGUGAAUGAGUGAAUGUUUGAAGUGCUUAUUAAGCACCCAGCCUGUGCCAGGCAUUAUCCUGCACUUGAAACGUAUUAGUAAAUCAAAGCCAUAAGAAUUCCUGCACGAGUCACGUCCACAUUCUACUGAGGGGUGAAGGCCAAUGAGCCAAGCACACGAUAAACCAGUGCAUUAGAUACUAUGUUGGGAAGUGUUAAGUGCUUGGGGAAAAAAUACAGCAGACUAAGGGGGACGGGGGAAAGAGGGUGUUGCAACUUUAAAUAGGGUGGUCAGAGCAGGUGUCAUUGAGGAGGUGACAUUUAAGCAAAACCUUGAAGAGGUGAAGAAGCACUGCAGGGAGUGUGAAGAACAGGAGCGAGGACCCUGAGGCGGGAGGAAGUGUGGCAGGUUGGAGACACAGCAUGGAAGUGGUGUGACUGGAGCAGGGACAGAGAGGGAGCUGGGAUCAGAGAGGAGCAGGAGUGAGUGGGCAGGUCAAGCUGACUUCCCCGGAGGUCUUCCUUGACCACGCUUGAUAAGGCAGCCCCUUGGCCCAGCACUCUCCAUCCCAUUACCCGCUUUGUUUUCCUCAUUACACCCGCACCACCAUCUGGUGUAUUCUGUUCUGUUCACACUGCCUGCCUCCCUAAGGAAGGAUGUAAGGUUCGUGAAGGCAGGGACUUUACCCAUUUGUUACCUGCUCUAUCUAAUGUCAGAACGGCUGGUGAGGGUGAAGAGGUCAGGAUGCCUUCCACACCAGAGGCUGAUGAGGAGCUGCAGCUCCUCAUUCCUUGACUGCAGGAAACCCUUCCUGACCCAGGCUGAUUAUUGUCAUCAUGAAGGGAAAUCUGUAGUGGUUGGCCACAGGGCUCUUUCAUUGGCCUUGGCUGGUUGAGAGCAGGGAUGAGCUGUACAGGCAGAGUCUUCUGUGAGGGUUGUCCCUGGACCUUCCUCACAGGCAGGCAGAUGUUUUGCUUUUAUUUGUUCAACAAACAUUUGUUGGGCACCUACUAUAUGCCAUGCACUGAGCUUACCGACUUAGGUUAGGUGGAGGAGGGAGGGACAGUUGGGAUGAUGCCACCCUAACCCUUUCCAGGCCCUCCCAGGUCCCAAGCUUCACUGGGCACAUGAGUAGCAUAUGCCAGGUGCAUGCCAGGCCUUGGGAAUGCAAAGAUGAACAGCACAGUGCCUGCACUCAAUCAAGUUGCUGUCACUGUAGUAGAUGUGAGAGACAUGUAAACAACUGUCUGCAAAUCCACUGUGAUAAGUACAAUGGCAGUGUAUCCAGGUGACAAGGGGAAGGGGCAGAAAAGGUCUCAGAGGAGUGAUGCUUGAGUUGAACUCAAAGUGGAGUGAUAUGUCAACUUGUGAUCUGGUUUGAAGUACCCCAAACCCUGUUCUUGUUGAGCCUGGAAUGAGAAGUUCAAUUGUAUGGAUUAGGUAUCAUCCUCUUCUUUGGCGCUGAAAAUAAUUGGUGUUCCCAAGAAAGUAACUAACGUAGCACACAAUUCUGAGAUCGCCUUCUUACAUGUGAAGAAACCAGGCGCCAUGUGAAAGGGGUUGAUGGAGAGAAAGGAGUAAAUGGGGUUCCCUCAUCUCCUAGUUCUCUGUCCCCUCUCCACUUUUAGUGGUCUCUAUUUUUAGGUGCCAAGGCUGUCUAGGUUUCUCUCUAAUCCUAGAGGGAAGAAUUGAUAAACACAUUAGUAAACACAUUUAUCCUAAUAGGCUAAUGAUCUGGGCUCUCCUCACCGCUCUGCUUUCUUCUCUCCCUUGAUGCAUCUCCUGGGGGCAAUUAAAAGUUCCAUCUCUACAAGCCUGAUGAGGCUUCUGAACCCUCUCCUCACUUCCUGCCUCUGAGUCCAGCCCCUACCUACCAUGUCCUGGCCUUGUAGAUAGGACCUGAUGAAUACGAGGUUUCUUGAUUUUAGCAGGAAUUGGACAAAGGCUCCCAUGGCUAUGUUGUGGACAAAGUAGAAGAAUAAGGCAGAUGAUAUUAUAUCAGAUGGAGAACUGAUUGGUUUAAUAGACAGAAAGAGCAUUGGUAAUUGUCAUACUGAAAUAUCAUCAGAAUUUAAUCAGUGGCUUGAAUAAAGACUAAAUGACGCAAAACUUAGAGGAAAAGAUAAUACAAAGAUCAACAAAAUCAGAUAUCUAAAGACUGGAUGAGGAGAGACAAAUCAGAUUAUCAGCUGGAUGACUCCGGAGACUCUCCCUAGGUAACCCAGCAAUAUAUUGGCCCUAUAGGAUGGCUUCAAGAACUCAGAUUGGAGCCAAUGCCGAUAUGCGAACUCCUCACUUAAUUUUUCUGGGGAGACAAGCUAUUUCUCAUGCUGGCAAGGUUGUAACCAAUUGCAAAGCUAAAGAUCUAUCCCUUCCCACAUCCAUCACUAAUAUGCAAGACAACGGAGCACAGUGAUCCCUCUCCUGGAUCACACAGCGCACACAUGGCACUCUAAGACACGUUCAUCCCAAGCAUGCCUCUUCAUGGGAUGGCAAGGGUCUGAAAGGACCACAUCCAUGCUGCCAGCCUGUGCCUGAGUACUCACGCUUUGAGUCUGCAUUUAUCCUUGCCCCCUGCUUUACAAAUUGGUAUAAACAACAUUUUAAAAAACCAAAAGAUAAAAUGUUAUACAGACAAAUAUACUGCAUUUGUGCUAAAAAUAUCAGUUAUGUAACUAUAGGAAUGGGAAGACUUGGCUCUAUACCUUGAAAAGGAACCAUGAGUUUAGUGGAUUUAGAACGAGUCAGGAAGUGACCUGGUGGCUUAUAAGUGGUCUGUCGCUUCAUUAACAGAUGCAGCAUCCAGAUCUCAGGAGAGGACAUUGUACUCAUCUUGCCAGCCCACCCAACUGGAAGCCAUGCUUAGUGUAGCCUACUCUAGGCACAGGAAGAGGCAGGGCUCACAGCUGCCACUGAUGUAUAUGCAGAGUACGUACAAGGCGAGUGGAGCAGCCAAGAGAACCAGACUGUAGCAGGUUAAUUGGCUGGGGCUGACAGAUUCCAAGUCAAACUGGCCCAAGCUCAUGUCUGGGAUUCUAAAGCAGAAGGAAGAGUCAAGAGAGAGGGAAUGGACCUGGAUGACUGCAAGAGGACCAGGUGCAGAAGCCAAAACAUACCAUACUGAGGCAGACAGGAGCAGGUGGUUAGGGGACUAAGGCAAUUACUGAGGAGAGAGGCUGAUGAAGACGGAAGUAAAAGAAAAACAGGUUGGAGUGCUGCAGCUGAGGAGCCCUGCUGGCUGCAGUACCACUGUCUACAUUAUUUUAAAAACUAUUUCUUCUUUUUUAUAAAAAAAUCAAACUAAUGCAUGAGUAUUAUUUUUAGUUUUGUUUUUAAAAUUAAAUCGUAUUGCCACAUCCAUAACUUAAAAAUUGCAAUCCUCUGACCCAAUUUUUUGAAUUCCUGCUUUCUAGAACCAAAUGCUUUCAACUCUUUUCUGUUUCUUCUGUUUUUCUCUCUUUAUUUGUAAACAGCAGAUUAUGCUACUAUUUCUUUUUUUUGUUUUGUUUUUUAGGUUUAGUUUUUUGGCUCCUGUAUGAAAGAUGAGGAUUGUGUUCCCUCACACCAUCCUUUCCCACUCUCUGGCCGCCUAAUAUAUUCACACUAUUCCUCCUCCCCAUCCUCUCAAUAUACUAUUGUUACCUUAUGGGUAAAAUCAAUGCUUAUUAAUUUUGAGCAUUGAUUUUAUGAUGUUUAUGAUGUUAUGAUCAUGGAAAUGCAAUUCACUGCUGAUCUAGGGAAUACAAUAAAACUACUUUAUGUUUUACCUGGAUUUAAUAGUUGCCUCAUUGUUUGUUUGUUUCUUAGUUUUCCAGGUACCUAUCACAGCAAUUCACUGCUGAUCUAGAAGAUACAAUAAAACUACUUUAUGUUUUACCUGGAUUUAAUAGUUGCCUCAUUGUUUGUUUGUUUCUUAGUUUUCCAGGUACCUAUCACGAAUUCAUUCUCAGAAUUUCUGAAAGAACAAUAAAAAUCAUUGCAAUAUGUGCAAACAUUAGGUAGUCUGUUUGUUUCUUUUUUCUUUUUCUACUCGGGGAUUUCCUCCUAGUGCAUUUUGUCCUUCUGUUACUUGUAAGUCUCUAAGCUUGCUACACAACUAUCAUUGGGAACUUUUCUGCACCAUUAAUCUGGAAAUUCCCUUUGCCUCUUUUCUGUGUUAAAACUCCUGUUUUCUAGAUUCUGUGUUUCCCCCCCUGCUUGGUUUAUUCACUUCUUUUGGCAGAAUACAUCUGCAAGUAGCUUAUUGUGAAAAGAUAAGUGGGAGGUUAAUUUUUUGAAAUCUUGCAUAUCUGAAAAUGUUUUUAUGUAUUUUAAUAGCUUUUUUGAAAUAUAUUUUGCAUACCAUAAAAUUCGCCCAUUUAAAGUGUAUAAUUCAGUGGUUUUUAGUAUAUUCACACAGUUAUGCAACCAUCACAAUUUAAUUUUAGAACAUUUUUGACAUCCCCAAAAUAAAUUCUGUACACAUUAGCAGUCCUCCACCAUUUCUGCUCACUUAUUUUCCCUCAACCUACUGCUCCAACCUCAGGUAGUCACUAAUCAACCUUCUGACUCUGUUGGUUUGCUGAUUCUGAACUUUUCACAUAAGUGGAAUCAUACAAUACAUGGUCUUUUGUGAUUGACUUAUUUCAGUUAGCAUAUUUUUUUCAAGGUUUAUCUAAGUCGGAGCAUGUGCCAGUAUUCAUUCUUUUUUAUUGCUGCAUAAUAUUCUAGUGUAUGGACAUACCACAUUUUGUUUGUCCAGUCAUUAAUUAAUGGAUAUUUUGUUUGUUUCCACCUUUUGGCUAUUUUGAAUAAUUCUGCUAUGAACUUUCAUGUACAAGUUUUUGUGUAGACAUAUAUUUUCACUUCUCUUGGGUAUACAUCCAGGAGUAGAAUUGCUAGUUUAUAUUCUAACUCUAUGUUUUGCAUUUUGAAGAACUGCCAAACUAUUUUCCAAAGUGGUUGCACCAUUUUACAUUCCCA
This 9788-nucleotide long non-coding RNA is filed under the name Homo sapiens (human). RNAcentral's name for it is "HSALNT0020453". Lineage: Eukaryota; Metazoa; Chordata; Mammalia; Primates; Hominidae. The record is from RNAcentral.